UACGGAGGGUGCAAGCGUUAUCCGGAUUCACUGGGUUUAAAGGGUGCGUAGGCGGCGCGGUAAGUCGGGUGUGAAAUCUCGGGGCUUAACUCCGAAACUGCAUUCGAUACUACCGUGCUUGAGGACUGGAGAGGAGACUGGAAUUUACGGUGUAGCGGUGAAAUGCGUAGAUAUCGUAAGGAAGACCAGUGGCGAAGGCGGGUCUCUGGACAGUUCCUGACGCUGAGGCACGAAGGCCAGGGGAGCAAACGGG
RNAcentral lists this ribosomal RNA (253 nucleotides) under uncultured bacterium. Its description in RNAcentral is "partial 16S ribosomal RNA". It matches the Rfam family "Bacterial small subunit ribosomal RNA", at positions 524 to 776 of the family's 1533-position model. The record is from RNAcentral.